CCCGCACCCGCGCCCUCAACCCUCGUCCUCCCGCAUCCCAGCCCGCUCGCCCCAGCCCUCUCCCCGACCUCUCCCUCCACCAGACCUCGCAGCCCCGCCCACUUCGCCGCCACCAACGCCCCGCAGACCUCGCCGCCGCCGACGCCCCUCAGACCGCGCCGCCGUGGACCUCUCUCCUCGUCUCCCUCGCACCACGCCGCCCACAACCUCGACCUCUCGUCAUCAGAAGGGAAGGGAAGGGAAGGAAAGAGAAGAGGGAGAGUGAGCAGGUCAGGCGGCAGCCAAGGUGCUCGCAGAUUCGCCGGCGAUGUCGUCCGACCUUGGCCUCCGAGUGCUUGUGCUCUGCCUGCUCCGCGCCCACGCAAUGGCCUGCUCAGGAUGCCGCCCUCUCCCCUGCUCCAACCCUAAUCCCCUCCCCUCCCCUCCCCUCAAGCUGUUGCUCCUUUUGGUCACGCAGGUGCACGAACACGUCCCUGCUCCUCUGGUGGACAAGGUCGGUUCCGAUCUGGAUGAGUAGCAAUUGCUACAGGUGGACGAGGCACGAGCCCUCAUGGCUCCUCCUUCCUCCUACCCCCCCACCCCCCUGAACAUGAUUCCAGUUUCUAAUUAGCGGUCAAGGAGUAGAUAACUGCACAACUUUGGACAUGCAUGAGGCAGUGGUUGUUAAAAAGAUAGAUGACUGUAACAAAUAAUGUGUGAGAACAAGGAGCCAAAAAUAUUGGAAAACGACCAUAAGAUAGAUAACAGAUUCAGUGAUUUGGUUAUUAUGGAGGUUGAUGGAACUUGGUCUACUGUCGGAAUUCAGAGCCAUAAAGCAUUGGACUUGGACAAGAGCUCUUCCAUGGCAGCAACCAGCAGUCCAAGGCCAAGCUUCUCUUCUCCAUGGAUGAAUCUCAACUGGAAGCAGCAAGCUAUCUCAAGGGAGGGGAUUCUCAAGUCACCCCACUUCCAAUCCAUGGACGCUAUCCACAAGGACCAAGAUGACGACGACCAGGAAGGAAGGAGCCCACGCCCGACCCCGACGACGGCGGUUCCAUUUGUGUGCCGGCGUCGACCACAACCUCCCUCUCUAUAAUAUGAAUAGCGGGGGGCGUCUGAGCCUGCAGUCGGAGUAGCAGCUGACGUAACAUUUGCAGAACACCGACACGGCGUCAGCCACCUGCAGCUGCUGGGCAGACAACAGGACGACAAGGAGCACGCAGACAGCCACAACCUUCACUCUCUCCUUCUUCCCAGUCCCCUCCAUUGAUAAUGGAUUCUUCCUCUUGCCUGUGACAACUUUUGUUGGGUCGACGGCCCGUCUUUAUACCGAA
Triticum dicoccoides is the source of this 1313-nucleotide long non-coding RNA. RefSeq lists it as uncharacterized. Lineage: Eukaryota; Viridiplantae; Streptophyta; Magnoliopsida; Poales; Poaceae. The transcript has 6 exons. The record is from RefSeq and is a predicted model, not a curated record.